RNAcentral lists this ribosomal RNA (96 nucleotides) under Oculatella atacamensis ATA2-1-CV24. RNAcentral's name for it is "partial 23S ribosomal RNA". The record is from RNAcentral. Lineage: Bacteria; Bacillati; Cyanobacteriota; Cyanophyceae; Oculatellales; Oculatellaceae.
GUUCAUCUGAUUUAGGUCAGAUGAAUCAUCACAGACACCAAUGAAUUUUGUGGUCAAGCUACAAAGGGCUGAUGGUGGAUACCUAGGCACACAGAG